AAACAUCGUGUACUUUUUAUCGAUUCUGUUUCAGAUGCUCUCUCGCAAUGUGUCGUCACAGUUUCAUGUGAAAUCAAUGAAAAAGAAAAACGCAAAAGCUGUUUCAGAUUCUCUAAUGGUCCCGUGAGGUGGUGGUGGGCUCUCUAAAUUGCCUGUGGCAACAAUCGCAAUUUCUUAGCUCUAAGUUCUGGAAUUUCAGUCAUAGUCGUCGAGAGUUUUUGGUUAAAAUUUUCAAACUUGAUCGAAUUUUGGGGGAAGAGUCUGAUUAAAAAGCUCUAGUCUUUCCGCAAUUUAGCCACUGUUUACUCCAUCGUGUAGGGGUUUGAUUAGAUAAGAAGCCUUUUGGAACGAUGCUAAGGGGAUAUCAAAACAGUAGCUGUUUAUAUCCCUGGGUGAUUUUGCUUUCAGUGUUCUCAAUAGUAACAGAGUUCAGGAAAAGACGAGAAUUUCUAUGGCGCCAAGGGACGGGUCAAUGAGCAAAUGGUUUUAGACAUAAAAGAAGCUGAAAGGGAAGAUGAUUCUCUAUUGUGUCCUUCAAGAGAUGCCAGUCCUAAGGGAAAGCUAUUACUUUACUUCUCCAACGCCAAACAGAGGAAUUUAUGGAUGUGGAAACUUUUGAAGCCACAAUGGAAUAUAGAGAGUUUCAUAACCACUCUUGAAGCGCCUGCACACUCACUUGUAACCUAUGGUGAUCGUUGAAGACACAUGAAGCUUCCUCAAACAAGAGAACUACAAUCGCAACACAGGUCUUGGCUGAUAUGUGUCUUCUCUUUGCUUGUGUCACGGACGAGCAGUCAUGGAGCGUGGAAGACUGUCUUCUGUCUGCUUGUGUCACGGACGAGCUGUCAUGGAGCGUGGAAGACUGUCUUCUGUCUGCUUGUGUCACGGAUUAGAGUCUCUUGUCUCUUUUUUUUCUUGGUCACAACGUCUUCAAUGUAUUAUUUUGUCACGAGAUCUUCAAUGAUGUAUAUAAUUGUUGUAUCACAAAAUCACAUUUCUACAACACCAUCUCUUCUCUC
Molecule: long non-coding RNA, 1019 nt
Organism: Brassica napus (rape)
Lineage: Eukaryota; Viridiplantae; Streptophyta; Magnoliopsida; Brassicales; Brassicaceae
Exons: 4
Source: RefSeq, a predicted model, not a curated record